ACCCCCAAUUCCCAAGAGUGGCAUAGCUUGCAUCAAUUUGGCGCUCUCAACUCGCUGCUGCUCCCCCCAAAAACCCUUGCUGUUGCUGGGGAACCAUGAGCAAGUCUCCGCGCAGAGAUCUGCAAGUCUUCGAUUUCAACGAAGAGGAUGAGGUCGCCUCCGAUAAACACCACAAUUUCCUCGCUCGCGAUUCCGAGGUCAAUAAGGUUGGCAUCAAGAGUGUUGCCAGUAUUCAUUGUGUUGAUGUAGCUGGUGCUAUGUUUAAUUUGGAAAAGGAUUGUUCUGACCCCUCUCCUGACACAGUGGAAGAUAUAUAUGAUAGUAAAGAGAAUAGUUCUGUGUUGGAAGCUGACAAAGAAUCAAAUUUGAUUAGUCAUGAAAGUCGUCAUCAUUUUAAAAUAGAUAUUCAUAACCAUAACAAACUAGAGAAAAUGGAUACAAGUGGUGAAGUAUCUUCACCUGAAACAAGCCAGAAUGAAUCAAUUGAUGUCAAUUCAGAGGCUGAUGAUAGCAUGGAUGAGAGUGCUCCAACAAGUCCUGCUUCGGAUUUUCCAGAGAAUGGUGUGUCAUUAAAUGGUUGUGGACUGAAUGGCACAGACAAUUCUGACAUGGAUGACACAAAUACAGAAGUUGUUCUUCAUCCUGAUUAUGUCAUAUACCAGGAUAAUUAUUAUCUGGGGCCAAAGUUAACCUUUUCACCUUGUUUUGUCAAGAUCAAUGUUUCAACUACAUGUAUAAAGCAAGAAGCUUUUGAUCUUGAAUGGACAGUUGAUGAUCUCAUUGACAUUAAUUGUCAGUUGUUUCAAAGUAGUGGAACUGUCGUGAUAAAGCUUCGAGUAAUAUCAAGUAAUGCAAGCCAAUCAAAACAUGUAAGCGAUGCUUCAGGCAUUGAGGAAUUGGAAAUUGCGGUUGCUGAUUACAAUUGGUCUCUUAGACAUAGACAAAUCACAUCUCUUAAUCUGAAAUACUUGGCUUCUUGGAACAUGGCUCUUCGUGCGGAUGUAGAAGGCAAUAAAACUGAUUCACGUGGGUCAAGAUGCUACUUCCCCAAUUUUGAGGAGCCUUUCGAUGAUGUUAUCUAUCCGAAAGGGGAUCCAGAUGCUGUUUCCCUAAGCAAGAGAGAUGUAGAUCUCUUGCAACCAGACACAUUCAUUAAUGACACAAUUAUUGAUUUUUACAUCCAGUAUCUCAAGAAUCAAAUACCGGACAUGGAAAAGCAUAGAUUUCAUUUUUUUAAUAGUUUCUUCUUUAGAAAGUUGGCUGAUAUGGACAAAAAUCCGUCUAGUGCUUCUGAUGGAAAAGCAGCAUUUCUACGCGUUCGUAAAUGGACAAGAAAAGUAAAUUUAUUUGCAAAGGAUUAUAUCUUUAUUCCUGUGAACUUCAAUCUUCACUGGAGUUUAAUAGUCAUAUGCCAUCCUGGUGAAGUGGUUAAUUUUAAUGGUGAGGUCUCGGCUUAUGAUCAUUCUUGUGAAACUAUUUUCUGAGAUUUAUGUUAUUAUAUGUAUUCCAGAUAAGGAGCCGGACAAUUCACUUAAGGUACCCUGUAUAUUGCAUAUGGAUUCCAUAAAAGGAAGUCAUAGUGGUCUGAAAAACCUAGUGCAAAGUUACUUGUGGGAAGAGUGGAAAGAGAGACAUAAGGAUACUUUGGAAGAAGACCUUUCAUCAAGAUUCUUAAAUAUGCGUUUUCUUCCACUUGCGUUGCCGCAGCAAGAGAACUCAUAUGAUUGUGGCCUAUUUCUGCUUCACUACCUAGAGCUGUUCCUUGUUGAAGCACCUCUUAAUUUCAAUCCUUUCAAACUAACCAAGUUUUCCAACUUUCUCAAUGUGGACUGGUUUCUGCCUGCUGAAGCUUUUCUCAAGCGAACACUGAUCCAGAAGUUAAUCUUUGAACUUGUGGAAAAUCAUGGUUCACAUGAAAUCUCUUCCUCUGACUGUAGUGGUGAUGAUGAGUGCUUAGAAAAUAAUGAUAACAGAACUGGGAUUGAUCACCCUGAAGUCAAUAAGGAGCCAACAACUUCUCAUGCUGGGCAGGGAAUAGAAAUCACUCUAUUGUCUGGUUCAUCGUCUUUGGAUCCUCAAUCCUUUAACAAUUCAGGAUUGGUUCUUAAAGAGCUUUUUGAUCCAGGAGCUACUGCAGGAGCAAUGUUGGGACAGUGCCAAUCCUUUGACCAGCGGUCAUCUGAUUAUCGUUCAAUAUUUUCGAUGGAGGAAGACACGGAUCUUGGGGACCAGUUUAUGUACUUGGCUACAGAUCCCAACUACCAGCAAGUGGCUGGAAUUACACCUCAAACAUGUUCAUUGCCAUAUCUUCCUAGGGAUUGUGGAGAUGAGAAAUGUCAUAGACCACAAAUCUCUCUGCUAGUGGAUCGUGAUGUGGUGCAGCCAUCUUUAGAUGCAUCAAAUAGUGUCUUGGAUGAUUCAGAAGAUAUAACAGUCUGCAAAAAUUGCCUUGUUGUGAAUGAGCCUGGGUCAUCUAAUGAACCUGAACAAGGUGAGAAAACUUGUUCAGCCAUGGAAAAAGCUGAGCAUGUUAUAGAUAUUUCCAACUCGGUGGUGGGAAAUUCUCUAGACUCGAUUACGAAGUGUGAUGAUAACAAGAAUGGAGAUCUCCACUCUUCUGGUCAAGAAACUACGACAAUUUCAGUGCAGCAGUUUCCUGAUGCAUUAGAUGAUGAGGAAGCUCCAACAAUACCAUUACAACAAGUUUCUGAUGCAGUAGAUGACGAGGAAGCUCCCACAACACCAUUGAAACAAGUUUCUGAUGCAGUAGAUGAUGAGGCUGGAUGUGAUGAUGGUCAGAUGAUUGAUAGCAUGGAGCCUGAUAAUUGUGAGGAACAAGCUGCAAAGAGGAGGCGGCUUAUGCCUCUACGGUGCAGAAGUGGCGGCAUUGGGACAGAAUCCGAUUUGUAGAUAACUUGAUAUAGAUAAAUAUGGCAUCUUCUUUUACCUUUGGUUUUGAAUUAUUUCUAGGUUUUACUUUAUCAUUAUGUGAAUAGUGUCGUUGCUUGGUAGUAGUUAAUUCUGCGACCAAAACUGAGAAAUAUCUGCGGACUUUAGGUACAAUUCAACCGGGCAAUGAUAUGAUUUUUUUUUUCCUUGAUGAAAACCUUUGAAAUUCGUUCUCCCUCUGUUUCUUAUAUUCUAAGAUCCAGAUUAUGAAUUUUACGAUUGUUGCUUUU
RNA transcript from Glycine soja, 3179 nucleotides. It is a transcript of the gene named probable ubiquitin-like-specific protease 2B, with no coding region annotated. The record is from RefSeq and is a predicted model, not a curated record. The transcript has 15 exons. Lineage: Eukaryota; Viridiplantae; Streptophyta; Magnoliopsida; Fabales; Fabaceae.